Phoenix dactylifera (date palm) is the source of this 3691-nucleotide non-coding RNA. The record is from RefSeq and is a predicted model, not a curated record. NCBI's taxonomy places the organism in Eukaryota, Viridiplantae, Streptophyta, Magnoliopsida, Arecales, Arecaceae.
AUAAUUUUAAAAGCUCGAGCUCGGUGCUUGACUCCUUGUCAAAUAAAUAUACGGAUCGACAGGAUACGCGGCAUGCGGACGUGGGAACGAAAAUCCGCUUAGAAAUAUAUAGAAUUCUUAGACAUCCUACGGGCAUGAUAUUUUUGAGUAAUUAUAAAUUAAAAAAAAGGUAAAAAGAGAGAAAUCUAAAAUGAAACUAAUUAAGUGUGCCUGCUGCCCCACCCAGAUACCUUCGAUAGCCCAAAUCCCAAUCGCUCUCCAACCAUUUCUCUUCAAAUUUUCCGGUCUAAAACUACUAACUCUAUAUUCAAUCUACCAUUAAAGUCAAAAGGAGCAUAUUGCUCUGGAUCUGCUGAUAAACAUGACCAAAAGCUUAGAUCGGAUCCCAUUCUGCCAGUUUGUACAGUUCAAAUUUGAGAAUUCAUAUUCCAAUGAUUCUUAAACACAACACUACAUGGCUACAAUGGACGUAACCCUCAAUGCUUACCAUUAAUGCUAUUAAUUAUAUCUAUAGGAAGAGAAUUUUGUUUUACAUUCAAAGAAUGAUGGCUUUUCAUAAAACUUAUUUUCAAAUAACUAAAAUUCGUAGAAUUCAUGCCUCUUGUUUUCCUCCCUUCUAUAUCUUUUAGUUAGUGGGCAUUCUUCCAUGGGUUUAACACUAAUAUGACCACAAUUAAACCAUUUGAAAUAGGGCAAAGAGUUUGUAAAGGCUCUUUUUGGAAAGAAAAAGGUUUGGGACCUUUUGUUUUAGAUUUUGAUCCCAAAUCUGUAUAAAUUCUCAGCAAGAUUAGAUAGAUCUAGCAGAAUUCAACUCCACUUUGACCCCCCCAAUGGCUUCUAUCGUGAUUCAACUUAAAUAGCUUAUCAUAUCCUCUUUUAUUGUUAUUGGAUCUGGUUUAGAUUUGGAUCUAAAACUAGAUAACCAAUAACUAUUGUUAUUGGGGUAUUGGAUACUAAAAUCUUAAUCAGCUCCCAUUAUGAUCCAAUAUAAAAUUCCCAUUGAACAAACUUGCCCCUAAUUGACCUCCUUACAUGGCCGAAGAAAUUAGCAAAUGGGAAUGGAACCAGUUGGAUUUCUUCCGCUAGGGUUCCAGAUUCACCUCUCUCACCGUCCGUUGAUCCAGAUUUGGGCGGAAAUGUCGACGAUGGAGCACCUCUUCAUGCAGAUUUUCGAGCGGAAGAACUGGAUCGAGGACCAGCAGGCAGCAGAUCAAGUCCCACGUGCAAUCUCUGGCCUACAACCUCCUCGCCGACGGCGCCCGUCCUCCUCCUUGGCUGUGGGCCAUGGAGUCGGUUGAACCUGGUUGCCCUAAUAUUGAAGGACAACUUGUCCUCUGGGUUACCGGAAGCCACAAGUAUCGUUAAGUACUCAACACUGCUUGAUUUUGUUCAGCACUGGAUUUGGAAAGCCGUCUAUACCUCUCUGAGUACCGCUAACAGUUACGGUCAUUACUCUUCAAAACAUUGUGGUGCUUUGGAUUCAUAGUUUUAUUGUUUUUCAGAAUAAUGCAGGAAUGCAUCGUUGAGAGCUCUGCUGUGCUGUAGCACAGACCAGUGUACCACAGGAUGUGCCUUCUUUUUGGAUUACCUUUUUCCUAGCAUCAAGGUUUUAGGAAAAUGCAACAGAGUUGUGACACCCAUUCUUUAAGUUUGAUGAGUGUGUAGCUAUUGGUGGCUUGCUGCCUUGAGUGAAUCUGCAACGGACGAUGGAGCAUGAUAGAAAUGUGAUCUAAAUGCAUCUGUUAGCCUAGGCCUUCAUCCAGGUGCAAGACACCCAGCUUUGUAUUGAGCCACUUUGUCGCACCAUCUGAGCUAAUAGUAUGAACAUUAUCCUUUUCUGUGCAUGGUGAUCUGUGUCAGGGGUGAAGCCAGACUGACCAGGUUUGUGCCUUAACCAUUCCAUACCAUCGAACGUGACAACCCCCGUAAAAGCCAGAAUAGUGGGUUAGUUGUUGAAGGGGACCACGAAGGGCAACCGAUUGACUUAUACGGUUACUUGCAGCAAGUAUUCUAUAUUAAUGACACUGCAGAGAGACGUGGCAAUUGGAAAGUUGUCCAAAGAUUCAAGCAUCGAGGUAUAUGGGAUGUGCCACAGAUGAGUUAUUUUAGAACCCAAUGAUGUUGAUUUAGGUACUUGUACUAGUUGCAUUGAUCAUACUACAUAAUGAUUUUACUUAUGUUUUUAGGACAAGUUCAAAAUCUCGGAUGAUUAUCAUGGCAAUCUAGUAGCUCAGCAAGCUGUCCACAGAAAAUGCUACAAUAUUCACAGAAAUUAGAGGCACAAUAUGAAAUCGCAUUACAAGCAUCUUAAGAACGUCUUACAUGUGGACCCUUAUAGUCAUCCAUGCGAACAUGUGACUCAAGAGGAUUGGUGCCACUUAAUUGACGAUGUGUGGAAAAGCAAAGAACACAAGAUAACUUAUAUAUUUAGUGCUUCAGAGUUUAUAAGUAAAAUAUUUGAUCAUAAUGUUUUUUUUAGAUUUUUAAUUUAUAUUUUUUUGAAGGUGAGAUCAAAAGCUAGCAAAAAGAAUAGGAAAAAGCUUGAGUACAAUCAUUGUUCAGGAUCUCGGUCAUUUGUUGCAACAAUGACUAUACCGGUAAUAUGUUUUUGAGUAUAUACUGGCUAUAUUUUUAGUGAACUGCCUGUGAAACAGUCUAUGGGAUAGUUUUGGCUAUUGUAAAAUAGACAAUUUGCUGCAAGUAAAUUUUUUAUUCUAGUUUGCUACAGGUAUAUUUUUGGAAUCCUUUUAUGCAAGUAGAUCUGACAGUUAUUCUAGUUUUCUUAUUAUGUAGUGGCUAUAUGCCAAUCUAAAUUACACUUUGCAGUCGGAGUUUAAUGGUUGUGAAAACCUUGAAUUUCCAGAAUUCUAUAUGAAAACUCAUACCAAGAAGAACAAAGAGUGGAUUGAUCCUAUUUGCGCCGUGAAACAUUCAAAGAUGUUGAGCUUGCGAGAAGAAUCUUCCUAAUCCGGUAUGCAUUUAACAUCAGAGGAGAUGUCUAGGCAGGCACUUGGAAAAAGAAAGAGAUACAUUCUUGAAUUUGGGGUUGGGCUGAAGCCAUCUUUAUCUUCUUCCACACCUAGUUGUGUGUCACAAGACCAUGUUGGGAAGUUGCAGAAACUUAAAGCUGAGAUGGAGGAGAUGAAGAUAGAGCGUGAGAUGGAGCGUGAGGAGCUACGGAGGCAAUUGGAGUAGGAGAGGAGAGAGCAUGAGGAGGAAAGGAAAGAGCGAGAGGAAGAACAGAAGCAAAUUGCACAUCAUACAAGUUUGGUGAUAGAGUUCUUAAAGGAAAAGACUCAAACGCACAAGUCAUCUAUCCAUCAUGAUAGGGCCAUGUAUUCAACUGGUGGUACAAAUACUCGUUGAUACAUGGUGGAGUUAUGAGCAUGUGAAAUCUAGUUUUUGGUACAUGGAUGCUUUUGUUCAGAUGAUCAUGGUGGAGUUGUCUACAAGCAGAAUCCAGUUUUUGGUAUAAGAAUAUUUUUGUCUACAUGAUGGUUGUUUGGAUGAAUAGCAAGAUCAGAUAUUUUGAAAUUUUUAAUUUACAUUUUGAUGUGUUUGGUGAUGAUUAUUACCUUAACAUAUGGUAUGGAUGAAAUAUUGUGAUGUAUGGUUAAUAGGUAUGCUUGACUUUAGACUUAUUGAUGAUGAUAUUUAUAAUGAAUGAUUAUGGAUUCUCCAACAUUGUGUA